CCUACGGUGGGCAGCAGUGAGGAAUAUUGGUCAAUGGACGAGAGUCUGAACCAGCCAAGUAGCGUGAAGGAUGACUGCCCUAUGGGUUGUAAACUUCUUUUAUAUGGGAAUAAAACAGGGUAUGCAUACCCUCUUGUAUGUACCAUAUGAAUCAGGAUCGGCUAACUCCGUGCCAGCAGCCGCGGUAAUACGGAGGAUCCGAGCGUUAUCCGGAUUUAUUGGGUUUAAAGGGAGCGUAGGUGGAUUGUUAAGUCAGUUGUGAAAGUUUGCGGCUCAACCCGGGCCGGCCGUUGAAACUGGGGAUCUUGAGUGGGCGAGAAGUAUGCGGAAUGCGUGGUGUAGCGGUGAAAUGCAUAGAUAUCACGCAGAACACCGAUUGCGAAGGCAGCAUACCGGCGCCCGACUGACGCUGAGGCACGAAAGCGUGGGGAUCGAACAGGAUUAGAUACCCUGGUAGUC
RNAcentral lists this ribosomal RNA (459 nucleotides) under uncultured bacterium. Its description in RNAcentral is "partial 16S ribosomal RNA". It matches the Rfam family "Bacterial small subunit ribosomal RNA", at positions 338 to 795 of the family's 1533-position model. The record is from RNAcentral.